This 253-nucleotide ribosomal RNA is filed under the name uncultured bacterium. RNAcentral's name for it is "partial 16S ribosomal RNA". It matches the Rfam family "Bacterial small subunit ribosomal RNA", at positions 524 to 776 of the family's 1533-position model. The record is from RNAcentral.
UACGUAGGGUGCAAGCGUUGUCCGGAAUUACUGGGCGUAAAGAGUUCGUAGGCGGUUUGUCGCGUCGUUUGUGAAAACUCACAGCUCAACUGUGAGCCUGCAGGCGAUACGGGCAGACUUGAGUACUGCAGGGGAGACUGGAAUUCCUGGUGUAGCGGUGAAAUGCGCAGAUAUCGAGAGGAACACCUGCGGCGAAGGCGGGUUGCUGGGCUGAUACUGACGCUGAGGAGCGAAAGCGUGGGGAGCAAACGGG